This 116-nucleotide ribosomal RNA is filed under the name Chrysemys picta bellii (western painted turtle). The record is from RNAcentral. Lineage: Eukaryota; Metazoa; Chordata; Testudines; Emydidae.
CAGCAUAGCCAUAUUACUUUUUGCUCUGAUCCCAUCAUCUCUCAGAAGCCAAGCAGAGUCAUCCUGUGGCAGUACAUGGAUGCGAGAUCUCCAGAAAAGACACAGAGUGUUGUGGU